This is a long non-coding RNA of Triplophysa rosa, 1866 nucleotides long. RefSeq lists it as uncharacterized. The transcript is spliced from 2 exons. NCBI's taxonomy places the organism in Eukaryota, Metazoa, Chordata, Actinopteri, Cypriniformes, Nemacheilidae. The record is from RefSeq and is a predicted model, not a curated record.
UUCAGGGCUAUGUCACCUUCUUUCAGAUAGACGGAAGAAGAUACUCACAAGAGGCAACAGUGUGAGGCUCUUUCAGGACUAAAAGCAUAAAAAAAUCACCUCUGGGCUUCUACCGGGGUAUUUAAUUUUUUUUAGGCAAAUCAGUAAUGCUCCGGAGCUUAAAACUGAAUCCACAGCUGGUGGAAGCCUCUUUCCUUCACUUUUGACUUUUCACCUCAACUUAACACCAUGAACAUCUCUCUUGAAAACCCUUAUGGCGACGUCGCCAUCCCCCGUGCCAAGCUGAGGGGUGACUCCAGCACCAUCAUCAUGAAUCCCAUGGCCUUAGAGAGCUCCUAUAACCGUACCUCUGCCACGAACCCUUACGGCAGCUUUAAAACGCCAGGAGAGAACAACCCCUCAAACGUGCCAGUGUACGGGGAGGCCAAGAACGGGAGCCAGAACCCUCCUCCUUACAGCACCCAGACAGGGUACACCGUGAAGGAUGAUACAGAGCAGGUGGGACGCUGCUAUGCUUGUUGCUGCCGCUGUCGAAGGAAGAAAUGAGACGUGCUUCCCGGUGCAAAGAAUUAUGGGUUUACAAAACGCAGGGAACAGGAUGAGGAGGAAUUUGUCUAGAACUCCCAAACCCUGUCAAACUGUGGAAGCUAAAAAUCACAGUGCUUAAAUGACCGGACUGCUACUGUAAGGAUUGCACAAAAAGAAUGAAACCUUUAAUGUUUUAUAUAUGUACUUUCGGAUUAAUUUGUCAAAGAUUGCUUUUGUUAAAUUGAUACAGUUCAAUUCAGCUGCAUUUCUUUGUUGAACCACCUAACAAGCCGUUCCUUUGUGCGCCGAUAUGUUUUACAAUGACACCGCUCGAUCUGAUUCAAUUUGUGCAUACCUGAGGUCGUUUUUUAUAUUACAUCUCGAUGGGCUCGUCCAAGUUUCUGUUGACCAGAGUGAUCAGGACUGUGGAACACAACCCAUAACACUGUGUGAUGCAGGAUGGUGAAACUAGAACCCUCAUUGUUUUACAAAGAACACAAAGGGACACUUUCAACUUUUCCAGAAGAAUGACUUGUGCCAUUUAAGUUUCUACGGAACAAGCUUUUCUGGUUGUUCUUAACAUACAGCUGAUACACGGCAACCUGGACCUUUAAUGCUUCGACAAAAUGAAAAACAUAAAUGCAACUUAAUUGGAUCUUUACAUAAAAGAACACAUUUGUAAUGUGGAUUGAUGAUUAAUUCACACUUAAUGAUAAGCAAUAUUUUGCAGGAUUGCUCAUAUGCAGUUUUGAGAACCUGAGAUUGAAUGAAGUGAAAUGUUUUAAACCUCUAGAUGUAAGACAUGAGUAAUGUUUGGUUUUGAAAUGAUGUAUUUUCUUUAUCACAAUGUACUUAAAUGAAGUAGUCCUACGCCUAGUUUCCAUCAAGGUGACUCAGUGACGACAAAUUAUCUCAACCUGAGUAAGUGCAGACAAGAUUUGAUACAGCAGAACCGGUUUGGGAUACAGAACUUGAAUAGCGCUCAAAGUAUUUCCUGGAAUAAUACAGAACAAGGCUCACUGAGGCUAGACCAACCGGUUUAAUGAUGUAAAGAAACUCGUGUCGCAUGGAAUCUGCAGUGCAGUCCUGCAGAACUGAGGAAAAGUAUGUGCAGAGGUUAUGCAGUAUUUACAUUAAAAACUUAUGUAAUGAAGGUUUCUUCUGGUGUCACUUUGUUUGCUUGGAAAUAAAAGCAAAGGAAGAGAGUUCUCACAUCAGGUUAAAACAAGUAAUGUAUUAUUGGUUUUCACGAAAAAGAUAACCAAAUUCAGUGUAAAAUAAUAACUGUUGAAGUUAUAAAUGAAAUGGAUUGAAUAAUAAAAUUAUGAAAAAUUGGUC